RNAcentral lists this ribosomal RNA (207 nucleotides) under uncultured bacterium. RNAcentral's name for it is "partial 16S ribosomal RNA". It matches the Rfam family "Bacterial small subunit ribosomal RNA", at positions 568 to 774 of the family's 1533-position model. The record is from RNAcentral.
CGCGUAGGUGGUUUGUUAAGUUGGAUGUGAAAGCCCCGGGCUCAACCUGGGAACUGCAUCCAAAACUGGCAAGCUAGAGUACGGUAGAGGGUGGUGGAAUUUCCUGUGUAGCGGUGAAAUGCGUAGAUAUCAGGAAGAACACCGAUGGCGAAGGCAGUCGGCUGGGGACUUACUGACGCUGAGGCUCGAAAGCGCGGGUAGCAAACA